RNAcentral lists this long non-coding RNA (688 nucleotides) under Physcomitrium patens. Its description in RNAcentral is "long non-coding RNA (PPAT_LNC003957)". Lineage: Eukaryota; Viridiplantae; Streptophyta; Bryopsida; Funariales; Funariaceae. The record is from RNAcentral.
UACUUCAUAAGGCAAACUUAAUUGAUUCACUCAUAUAAAUAAUGGAUUUUAGAAGAGCCAAAGUCCUUAAUUCCAAACUCCAAAUUAAUGCUUUCAUAACAAAAUUAAUAAUUAGAAGCCUCUAAUCCAGCUACAAACUUUAGAAGAUAUUUGCUUAUCAAAAUUUGAGCUAUACUAAAUCCACAAAUGUGGGGAGAUGGCCUUGAAACCUUGAUUGGAUUUUGGUUGGCUACAUAUCUCCUUAUGAUUCAUUAUCCUUUUGGUAAUCAAUCCCUUAAGCAUAGAUUACUACAAAGACUAGCUUCCAAUAGUUCCUUCCAUCCCAUACCACAAAGAUUCUAUAAUAACUUCUUUUUGACAACUAACUCAUUUGAUAAAUAUCAGAUGACCUCUUUAGAAUGAAAACAAAUUCUACAUAUUCUACAUUGAUAAAUAUGGGACUUUUUAGAUAAAGCAUAUCUUUCACCAACCUUUUGGCCACUAGAGCUCUAAAUCUUUUACUAAAGUUGUCACUAGUUCAUACAUAAUUUUGACUCAAUAGAUGGCCUUUUCUAAAUUCAUUCCAUGUACAUCCCCAUAUCAAAUUCUAUUAGCCUUUAAAAAUCAAAUUACUCUCACUACCUCAAAUACCUCCUUAAUUUAUCACUUGUAAUAAUAAUCUAUGAUAGGUUGGUUGUAUAGAAUAUAU